CCCUUAGAUGUUCUGGGCCGCACGCGCGCUACACUGGUACGUUCAACAAGUUUACAACCUUGAUCGAUAGGUCUGGGUAAUCUUUUUAAUGCGUACCGUGCUAGGGAUAGAUUAUUGCAAUUAUUAAUCUUGAACGAGGAAUUCCUAGUAAACGCAAGUCAUCAGCUUGCAUUGAUUACGCCCCUGCCCUUUGUACACACCGCCCGUCGCACCUACUGAUUGAAUGACUCGGUGAAAAAUUGGGACUGUGAGAACAAUCGAUUCAGUUCGAAUGUACUCGUGGAAACUUUUUUUAACCUCGCCAUUUAGAAGAAGGCGAAGUCGUAACA
RNAcentral lists this ribosomal RNA (329 nucleotides) under uncultured eukaryote. RNAcentral describes it as "partial 18S ribosomal RNA". It matches the Rfam family "Eukaryotic small subunit ribosomal RNA", at positions 1470 to 1796 of the family's 1831-position model. The record is from RNAcentral.